AGCGAACGUUUGCGGCGGGCCUAACACAUGCAAGUCGAACGGGCUAGCAAUAGUCAGUGGCGCACGGGUGCGUAACACGUGGGUAAUCAACCCUUCAGCUCGGGAUAACGCCUUGAAAGGGGCGCUAAUACCGGGAUACGACGCGAGGAGCUUCGGCUGCUUGCGGGAAAGAUUCGCAAGGAUCUCUGAAGGACGAGCCUGCGGCCCAUCAGCUAGUUGGUGAGGUAAGAGCUCACCAAGGCGAAGACGGGUAGCUGGUCUGAGAGGAUGAUCAGCCACACUGGACCUGAGACACGGUCCAGACUCCUACGGGAGGCAGCAGUGGGGAAUAUUGCGCAAUGGGCGAAAGCCUGACGCAGCCACGCCGCGUGAGCGAUGAAGGCCUUGGUCGUAAGGACUCUG
This 402-nucleotide ribosomal RNA is filed under the name uncultured bacterium. RNAcentral describes it as "bacterial SSU rRNA". It matches the Rfam family "Bacterial small subunit ribosomal RNA", at positions 29 to 435 of the family's 1533-position model. The record is from RNAcentral.